RNAcentral lists this ribosomal RNA (441 nucleotides) under uncultured bacterium. RNAcentral describes it as "partial 16S ribosomal RNA". It matches the Rfam family "Bacterial small subunit ribosomal RNA", at positions 338 to 795 of the family's 1533-position model. The record is from RNAcentral.
CCUACGGGAGGCAGCAGUCGGGAAUAUUGCACAAUGGAGGAAACUCUGACGCAGUGACGCCGCGUGCAGGAAGAAGGUUUUCGGAUUGUAAACUGCUAUAGACAGGGAAGAAAAAAGACAGUACCUGUAGAAUAAGCUCCGGCUAACUACGUGCCAGCAGCCGCGUUAAUACGUAGGGAGAAAGCGUUAUCCGGAUUUAUUGGGUGUAAAGGGUGCGUAGACGGAGAAGCAAGUUAGUUGUGAAAUCCCUGGGCGUAACUGAGGAACUGCCACUAAAACUACAUGCCUUGAGUACAGGAGAGGAAAGUGGAAUUCCUAGUGUAGCGGUGAAAUGCGUAGAUAUCGAGAGGAACACUCGUGGCGAAGGCGGGUUCCUGGACAUUAACUGACGCUGAGGCACGAAGGCCAGGGGAGCGAAAGGGAUUAGAUACCCCAGUAGUC